UAGCGAAAGCUAAUUGCAAAUAUCGACUCUGUCGAAUAAAAUUCUAGGUAGAAUUAUGAUGAUGACAUUGUCUGCCUAUGUGUCUUGACCAAAUUACGUGCCAGCAGUCGCGGUAAUACGUAGAAGACUAGUGUUAUUCAUCUUUAAUAGGUUUAAAGGGUACCUAGACGGUAAAUCAAGCACUAAUUUACUAGAGUUACUUAUGAGGGGGUAUUAAAGUACUGAUGGUGUAGAGAUGAAAUUCUUUGAUACCUCUUCUACAUGGCACAGGUAUAGGCGAAAGCAUCCCCUUAUGUGAUAACUGACGUUGAAGGACGAAGG
Molecule: ribosomal RNA, 321 nt
Filed under: Lecanora achroa
Lineage: Eukaryota; Fungi; Ascomycota; Lecanoromycetes; Lecanorales; Lecanoraceae
Description: SSU rRNA
Rfam family: Bacterial small subunit ribosomal RNA
Source: RNAcentral